This 71-nucleotide transfer RNA is filed under the name Aedes aegypti (yellow fever mosquito). It matches the Rfam family "tRNA". From Rfam's summary of the family: Transfer RNA (tRNA) molecules are approximately 80 nucleotides in length. Their secondary structure includes four short double-helical elements and three loops (D, anti-codon, and T loops). Further hydrogen bonds mediate the characteristic L-shaped molecular structure. tRNAs have two regions of fundamental functional importance: the anti-codon, which is responsible for specific mRNA codon recognition, and the 3' end, to which the tRNAs corresponding amino acid is attached (by aminoacyl-tRNA synthetases). tRNAs cope with the degeneracy of the genetic code in two manners: having more than one tRNA (with a specific anti-codon) for a particular amino acid; and 'wobble' base-pairing, i.e. permitting non-standard base-pairing at the 3rd anti-codon position. Lineage: Eukaryota; Metazoa; Arthropoda; Insecta; Diptera; Culicidae. The record is from Rfam by way of RNAcentral.
GGCUCGGUAGCUUAGUUGGUAAAGCGCUCGUCUAGCAUACAAGAGUCCUGGGUUCGAAUCCCAGCCAACCA